GGAGGGUGCUAGCGUUGUUCGGAAUCACUGGGCGUAAAGGGCGCGUAGGCGGCCCGAGAAGUCGGUUGGUGAAAGCCCGGGGCUCAACCCCGGAGGUGCGGCCGAGACUCUCGGGCUGGAGGCCGGAAGAGGAGGGUGGAAUACCCAGUGUAGAGGUGAAAUUCGUAGAUAUUGGGUGGAACACCGGUGGCGAAAGCGGCUCUCUGGUCCGGACCUGACGCUGAGGCGCGAAAGCGUGGGGAGCAAACAGGAUUAGAUACCCUGGUAGUCCACGCCCUAAACGAUGCGGGCUAGACGUCGGGGGGCUUGCCCCUCGGUGUCGCAGCUAACGCGUUAAGCCCGCCGCCUGGGGAGUACGGCCGCAAGGUUAAA
This 372-nucleotide ribosomal RNA is filed under the name uncultured bacterium. Its description in RNAcentral is "bacterial SSU rRNA". It matches the Rfam family "Bacterial small subunit ribosomal RNA", at positions 527 to 898 of the family's 1533-position model. The record is from RNAcentral.